UUAGCUUCAUCUACAGGUAUGACAGAAGAAGGACACGGGGGACUGCGCUGCUGUCUUCUGCAGAAGCGACACCUUCUUCUGGAGAAACUGAGCUCUGCUGCUAGCACCUACGCUUGUUUUGAUGUGGACUCAUCUUUAUUCGUGUUGGAGGAAGACAAAGAUGAUGAUGAAGAGGAAAGGCAACAGGAUGACAGCAGUUCAGAUCUUUCGGAGGAAGACAUAUAGACUGGCUGUGUGCAUGUGCUUAAUGUGUUACACAGUCACACACUGCAAGCUACCAUGAAGCAAAAUUUAAACUCUGGUGGAAGAAUAUUUAGACCACUUUUUAUUAAAAUACUUACGUGUUCCAACUUUACUGUAAUAAAAUGUGUAAAUAGUCACGUGUUCCUUGUUAAAUGUUUUGGAUUAAUGUCAUGCUACAGUAACAUGUAUGUGAAAUAUUUGGUACUACAACAGUGUCCAAGAUAAUACAUAAAGUUUUU
This is a long non-coding RNA of Melanotaenia boesemani (Boeseman's rainbowfish), 482 nucleotides long. RefSeq lists it as uncharacterized. NCBI's taxonomy places the organism in Eukaryota, Metazoa, Chordata, Actinopteri, Atheriniformes, Melanotaeniidae. The record is from RefSeq and is a predicted model, not a curated record. The transcript is spliced from 4 exons.